UCCCUGAGGACUAUUGGUUAGGCCACAGCGCUCUCACUGCUGCAGCCUGGGUUCAAUUCCUGGCCAGGGAA
RNAcentral lists this transfer RNA (71 nucleotides) under Pangasianodon gigas (Mekong giant catfish). RNAcentral describes it as "tRNA-Glu". It matches the Rfam family "tRNA". From Rfam's summary of the family: Transfer RNA (tRNA) molecules are approximately 80 nucleotides in length. Their secondary structure includes four short double-helical elements and three loops (D, anti-codon, and T loops). The record is from RNAcentral. Lineage: Eukaryota; Metazoa; Chordata; Actinopteri; Siluriformes; Pangasiidae.